UACGUAGGUGACAAGCGUUAUCCGGAUUUAUUGGGCGUAAAGCGCACGCAGGCGGCGGCUCAAGUCUGACGUGAAAUCUCUCGGCUUAACCGGGAGCGGUCGUUGGAAACUGAGUGGCUUGAGGCGAUGAGAGGGGUGUGGAAUUCCCGGUGUAGUGGUGGAAUGCGUAGAUAUCGGGGGGAACAUCAGUGGCGAAAGCGGCACCCUGGCAUUAGCCUGACGCUCAUGUGCGAAAGCGUGGGGAGCGAACGGG
This 253-nucleotide ribosomal RNA is filed under the name uncultured bacterium. Its description in RNAcentral is "partial 16S ribosomal RNA". It matches the Rfam family "Bacterial small subunit ribosomal RNA", at positions 524 to 776 of the family's 1533-position model. The record is from RNAcentral.